UACGUAGGGGGCAAGCGUUGUCCGGAAUCAUUGGGCGUAAAGAGCGUGUAGGCGGCUCGAUAAGUCUGCUGUGAAAGUCCAGGGCUCAACCCUGGAAGGCCGGUGGAAACUGUCGGGCUAGAGUCCGGAAGAGGCGAGUGGAAUUCCCGGUGUAGCGGUGAAAUGCGCAGAUAUCAGGAGGAACACCGAUUGCGAAGGCAGCUCGCUGGAACGUUACUGACGCUGAGACGCGAAAGCGUGGGGAGCAAACAGG
Molecule: ribosomal RNA, 253 nt
Filed under: uncultured bacterium
Lineage: Bacteria
Description: partial 16S ribosomal RNA
Rfam family: Bacterial small subunit ribosomal RNA
Source: RNAcentral